Molecule: long non-coding RNA, 695 nt
Organism: Canis lupus familiaris (dog)
Lineage: Eukaryota; Metazoa; Chordata; Mammalia; Carnivora; Canidae
Exons: 2
Source: RefSeq, a predicted model, not a curated record
UUACAGCACUCCCACCCUAGGCCACCUCAUGGCCCUAGGCAGGGAUGUGAGAUGUAUAAAAGGUGGGCAGGCUCUGAGCAUCCCAAACCCCUGGGCAUCUCCACGCUCCAGCCACUGGCAAACUUGGUUGUGUGUCAACUCAGAAUGUCUCAGCAGAAGCAGAAGCAGUGUGCUCCCCCGCAGCAGUGUGCUCCACCCCAGCAAUGCUGCCCCCCACCUCAGCAAACUAAACAGGCUUGUCAGCCUCCACCCAAGUGCAAGGAACCCUGUGCCCCCAAGUGCCAACAGAAAUGUCCACCCCCUCAACAGUGCCAAAAGUCCAAGCAGAAAUAAGAUCCCAGCAUGUGACCAGAGGCCGAGCCUCCUCGGAAAACAGAGAGCAUGAAGUUCACUGCCCCUCUCUCAAACAGCCAUCUGUCAGCCCCACUCACCCCCAGCUUCUGACUGCAGCCACACUUAGGAAAAGGCAGCACCAGGAUGGCAGCUUCCUCGAUCUCUAUCUCUUAUUAAUUAGCAACUGCAAUUUCCACCUCAGACAAUGAUCUGAUGCUGAACUGUCUAAUCAUCUUCACUGACAUGUAUCUACAUUGCUAUGCCUGCUUUCUGGAAGCUUGAGCAGCAUGCUGGACACCUUUCUUAGCACCCUCCAUUUCUGCUCCUGUUUUCCAAACAAUUAAAUGUAGUUCCUCUGGCAA